RNAcentral lists this ribosomal RNA (376 nucleotides) under uncultured bacterium. RNAcentral describes it as "bacterial SSU rRNA". It matches the Rfam family "Bacterial small subunit ribosomal RNA", at positions 524 to 898 of the family's 1533-position model. The record is from RNAcentral.
UACGGAGGGUGCGAGCGUUAAUCGGAAUUACUGGGCGUAAAGGGUGCGUAGGUGGUUUGUUAAGUUAUCUGUAAAAUCCCUGGGCUCAACCUGGGCAUGCCAGAUAAAACUGAUGGACUCGAGUACGGGAGAGGGUAGUGGAAUUUCCGGUGUAGCGGUGAAAUGCGUAGAGAUCGGAAGGAACACCAGUGGCGAAGGCGGCUACCUGGCCUGAUACUGACACUGAGGCACGAAAGCGUGGGGAGCAAACAGGAUUAGAUACCCUGGUAGUCCACGCCGUAAACGAUGUCAACUAGCUGUUGGUUAUAUGAAUAUAAUUAGUGGCGCAGCAAACGCGAUAAGUUGACCGCCUGGGGAGUACGGUCGCAAGAUUAAA